This 253-nucleotide ribosomal RNA is filed under the name uncultured bacterium. RNAcentral's name for it is "partial 16S ribosomal RNA". It matches the Rfam family "Bacterial small subunit ribosomal RNA", at positions 524 to 776 of the family's 1533-position model. The record is from RNAcentral.
UACGGAGGAGGCAAGCGUUAUCCGGAAUUAUUGGGCGUAAAGCGUCCGUAGGUGGCUAGUCAAGUCUGCGGUCAAAGACUGGGGCUUAACCCUGGAAAGGCCGUGGAAACUGACGAGCUAGAGUGCAGUAGGGGUAGAGGGAAUUCCCGGUGUAGCGGUGAAAUGCGUAGAGCUCUGGAAGAACAUCGGUGGCGAAAGCGCUCUACUGGACUGCAACUGACACUCAGGGACGAAAGCUAGGGGAGCGAAUGGG